CGAACCUCUGGAAAGCAGCAAUGCGCCGAAGAAGCAACUUCCCCUUUGCAGCAUAAGAGGAAGGAAUCUCUCAGGCACCAAGACAGAGACGU
This 92-nucleotide non-coding RNA is filed under the name human gut metagenome. Its description in RNAcentral is "Glycine riboswitch". It matches the Rfam family "Glycine riboswitch aptamer", at positions 9 to 86 of the family's 94-position model. From Rfam's summary of the family: This family represents the bacterial glycine riboswitch. Glycine riboswitches usually consist of two metabolite-binding aptamers domains with similar structures in tandem. The record is from RNAcentral. RNAcentral also lists the same sequence under 1 other name.